ACUACCAUACCAUCCUGAACACACCAAAUGUUGUCUGAUAUUGGAAGCUAAUGAGGGAUAAGCCUGGUUAGUACUUGGAUGGGGGACCACCAGGAAACAACAGAGAUUU
RNAcentral lists this ribosomal RNA (109 nucleotides) under Pogona vitticeps (central bearded dragon). The record is from RNAcentral. Lineage: Eukaryota; Metazoa; Chordata; Lepidosauria; Squamata; Agamidae.